Molecule: ribosomal RNA, 406 nt
Filed under: uncultured bacterium
Lineage: Bacteria
Description: partial 16S ribosomal RNA
Rfam family: Bacterial small subunit ribosomal RNA
Source: RNAcentral
AUUGAACGCUGGCGGCAGGCCUAACACAUGCAAGUCGAACGAGUGGCGGACGGGUGAGUAAUGUCUGGGAAACUGCCUGAUGGAGGGGGAUAACUACGGGAAACGGUAGCUAAUACCGCGUACCAUCGGAUGAGCCCAAGUGGGAUUAGCUAGUUGGUGGGGUAACGGCUCACCAAGGCGACGAUCUCUAGCUGGUCUGAGAGGAUGACCAGCCAAACGGGAACGGAGAAACGGUCCAGAAUCCUACGGGAGGCAGCAGUGGGGAAUAUUGCAAAAUGGGGGCAAGCCUGAUGCAGCCAUGCCGCGUGUAUGAAGAAGGCCUUAGGGUUGUAAAGUACUUUCAGCGGGGAGGCGUUACCCGCAGAAGAAGCACCGGCUAACUCCGUGCCAGCAGCCGCGGUAAUAC